CCUACGGGAGGCAGCAGUGAGGAAUAUUGGUCAAUGGCCGGAAGGCUGAACCAGCCAAGCCGCGUGAAGGACGAAGGUGCCAAGCAUUGUAAACUUCUUUUGUCAAGGGACAAAAGCAGGCACGAGAGCCUGACCGAGGGUACCUGAAGAAAAAGCAUCGGCUAACUCCGUGCCAGCAGCCGCGGUAAUACGGAGGAUGCGAGCGUUAUCCGGAUUUAUUGGGUUUAAAGGGUGCGUAGGCGGACGGUUAAGUCAGCGGUAAAAGGCCGGGGCUCAACCCCGUCGAGCCGUUGAAACUGGGUGUCUUGAGAUGUCGAGAGGUAUGCGGAAUGCGCGGUGUAGCGGUGAAAUGCAUAGAUAUUGCGCAGAACUCCGAUUGCGAAGGCAGCAUACCGGCGGCGAUCUGACGCUGAGGCACGAAAGCGUGGGUAUCGAACAGGAUUAGAUACCCCGGUAGUC
RNAcentral lists this ribosomal RNA (459 nucleotides) under uncultured bacterium. Its description in RNAcentral is "partial 16S ribosomal RNA". It matches the Rfam family "Bacterial small subunit ribosomal RNA", at positions 338 to 795 of the family's 1533-position model. The record is from RNAcentral.